RNA transcript from Otolemur garnettii (small-eared galago), 1450 nucleotides. It is a transcript of the gene named guanine nucleotide-binding protein G(I)/G(S)/G(T) subunit beta-1 pseudogene, with no coding region annotated. The record is from RefSeq and is a predicted model, not a curated record. The transcript has a single exon. NCBI's taxonomy places the organism in Eukaryota, Metazoa, Chordata, Mammalia, Primates, Galagidae.
GCAGCGGCCAAGGCGGUGUGGACACGUCAGGCCGGAGGAGGGCGCUGAGACAAAUUUACAUGUAUUGAAGACCAGACCAGAAGUACUUCUGAAUUAAGAUCUGAAUUCUUUGAGGUGGCGUUAAAGAGCACUAAGACCAGAAGAUGAGUGAACUUGACCAAUUACGGCAGGAGGCCGAACAGCUUAAAAACCAAACUAGAGAUGCCAGAAAAGCAUGUGCAGAUGCAACUCUCUCUCAGAUCACACACAACAUUGACCCUGUGGGAAGAAUUCAAAUGCACACUAGGAGAACGCUGACGGGGCACUUGGCCAAGAUCUAUGCUAUGCAUUGGGGCACAGACUCCAGGCUUCUUGUCAGUGCCUCAUAGGAUGGUAAACUUAUCAUCUGGGAUAGCUAUACCACAAACAAGGUCCACGCCAUCCCUCUAUGCUCCUCCUGGGUCAUGACUUGUGCAUACGCCCCUUCUGGGAACUAUGUGGCCUGUGGUGGCUUGGAUAACAUUUGUUCCAUUUACAAUCUGAAAACUCGUGAAGGGAAUGUACGUGUGAGUCGUGAGCAGGCAGGAUGUGAGCUGGCAGGACAUAUAGGUUACUUGUCCUGCUGCCGGUUCCUGGAUGACAAUCAGAUUGUCACCAGCUCUGGAGACACUAUAUGUGCCCUGUGGGACAUGGAGACCGGCCAGCAGACAACCACGUUCACUGGACACGCUGGAGAUGUCAUGAGCCUUUCUCUCGCUCCUGACACCAGACUGUUUGUCUCUGGUGCUUGUGAUGCUUCAGCAAAGCUCUGGGAUGUUCCAGAAGGGAUGUGCUGACAAACUUUCACUGGCCACGAGCAUUUGCCACCAGCUCAGAUGAUGCAACCUGCAGGCUGUUUGACCUCUGUGCAAACCAAGAGCUCAUGACUCCCAUGACAACAUCAUCUGUGGAUCACCUCCGUCUCCUUCUCCAAGAGUGGACGCCUGCUCCUCGCUGGGUAUGACGACUUCAACUGCAACGUGUGGGAUGCACUCAAAGCUGACUGGGCGGGCAGGUGUGUUGGCUGGACAUGACAACUGCUUCAGCUGCCUAGGGGUAACUGACGAUGGCAUGGCUAUGGGGACAGGAUCCUGGGACAGCUUCUUGAAGAUCUGGAACUAACUCCAGGAGCAUGUGGACGCCACACUACAGAGACUGGAAGACCAUUCAACCCUUGAUGCAUUGCAGUGAGAGCAUAUCCUAUCCAACUGUACUAAUGUGGACACCCUACACCUCCCCUCAGAACUACAAAAGGACAAGAUCUUUUUUCCUUCACUGAUUGCUGAAACCAAGAGCACAAUUCCCAUUAAGAGGAGGAUCUCUUUGCUGUAAACUAAACAAAUUGUGCAUUCCUUCCAGGGCCCUUCGUCUUUGUUUUAUUUUUUGUCUUGAAUUUUAAAAGGAAAUACUAUAAUAAAAAUAUUAACCAGAA